CACUCCUCCGCCCACGCGCCCCUGCCUCCCUGUCGCCGCACCCCUCCUUUCCCAUCGCGCCGCUGCCUCCCCCGACGCCACACUACUACUCCUCGAAGCGCCGUCCCUGCCGCAGUCAAUCUCUAUCCAGGGGAAGGGGCUCCUGGAUCUGCGAGUUCACGGCGCACGCCCCUCGUCUGACACAUCCAUCCGAGAGGACCUCCUCUUCGCGAAAGGGGUCGUCGUCGCCGUGCCCCACCGCCCGUCCGGCGCCUCAAUGCAGCCGUCAUUGGCUGACCUCACUGUUCCCCACCGCCGGACCAUGCAUACUCGCCUGCCGCGCGCCUUCCUCACUGCCCGAACCGUCCCCGCUGCACGGAUCUGCGCCCACGUCAGGAUGACAACCCGGUGGAAAUCGGCGUUCCCGUCGCGCCCGAUGCCGCAGCGUCGACUGCUUCAAGAAGCUCGAGCAGAUCGGGGAGGGCACCUACCGGCAAGUAUUCUUGGCGAAGGAGACCGAGAGGAAGUAAAUGUGGCAGUCAAGAAGAUUCGCAUGGACAACAAGCGAGAGGGCGGCCAGUUCCCUAUCACAGGCAUCCAGGAGUUUAAAAUCCUCAAGAAGCUGCACCACCAGAACGUGAGCAACUGGUCAAUCUCAAAGAGAUCGUCACCUCGCCAGGGCCAGAGGGAGAUGAGCAGGGGAAGCACAGUAUGAUUCUAAACAAAACACCAUUGAAUGUUUGCUUUAUUGCUAAUCCAGAUGUGCUACUUAUUUUUUGUUUCAAGCAGUGUACUACUGUGAAUGUUUUUUCUGACUAAUAAAUCUCGAUUUUCGUUCAUAAUGAAUUUAUGUUCCAUUUAGAUGAAGAUUGCUUGGUUCAUUGCUUCGAGCAGAAAACAAAUGUUUUCAAUAGGCAUACAUACACAGUGCAUUGUUGGCCAAGAUAGACGGGAGCGGCAAGGCACACAUCAUUCUGUGCCGCGCCACGUGCUGAUGGGCCUUCCGGAGGUUGUCUAGGCAGGGUCCUUGCAGUCCCGCCCCAGCAGCGACUCCUACGACACCGCCGUCGACAAGAUGGAGAAUCGGCAUUGUCUGGAGCAAAGACAUGAACAUGAGGGUCUUCCCCGUGUACGUGGUGAGCUUCAAGUGCCAAACACUUGGAAAAGGUGGAGAUUCAGGAAUUAGAUUACCCUUCUCUCCAUUGUUGUCAUACUGUUCCUUGGUCAUCUACAGGAGUGGAGUUUGUCAGGGUCGGGCCUAAUCCCAAGUUUGUCCCAGUUGCUGGACUGUUCCAAGAACAGCAAGUCUCCAGGUAGGCAAUGCAAUCACCGACAACUACAAUGACAUCGGCUUUGGGCGCAGUUGAGCAUUGGCGAGGAAAUGGAUUGCUCAUACUUCAUACUGCUACCGCUGUCCUCAACACCCCUGCGACUCCGUGCGCUGACGGAGUACCUGGUUGGCUCCAGAAACAGAUGGGUAUGCUAGCAACCAUUGAAGGUUCAAACUUAAUACUGCUACCUGACAUAUCCUCCUUCCUACUGCUACAUACCUGUUGUUGUAAUUCUAAUUCUUGGCAAAAAAAAUGUUUUAUUAUAUGGCAAAAAUCAUGACAAUGGUUAUUGUUGGUGA
Molecule: RNA transcript, 1609 nt
Organism: Panicum virgatum (switchgrass)
Lineage: Eukaryota; Viridiplantae; Streptophyta; Magnoliopsida; Poales; Poaceae
Exons: 7
Source: RefSeq, a predicted model, not a curated record